CACAAGCGGUGGAGCAUGUGGUUUAAUUUCGACGCAACGCGCAGAACCUUACCUGGGUUUGACAUCUCGGGAAUCUUGUGGAAACACGAGAGUGCCCUUCGGGGAGCCCGAAGACAGGUGCUGCAUGGCUGUCGUCAGCUCGUGUCGUGAGAUGCUGGGUUAAGUCCCGCAACGAGCGCAACCCCUAUCUCUAGUUGCCAGCGAUUCGGGUCGGGGACUCUAGAGAUACUGCCCCGGUUAACGGGAGGAAGGUGGGGAUGACGUCAAGUCCUCAUGGCCCUUAUGCCCAGGGCUACACACGUGCUACAAUGGGCGGUACAAAGGGUAGCGAUGCCGCGAGGUGAAGCCAAUCCCAAAAAGCCGUCCACAGUUCGGAUUGGAGUCUGCAACUCGACUCCAUGAAGCCGGAAUCGCUAGUAAUCGUGGAUCAGCAUGCCACGGUGAAUACGUUCCCGGGCCUU
This 461-nucleotide ribosomal RNA is filed under the name uncultured Desulfobacterium sp. RNAcentral's name for it is "bacterial SSU rRNA". It matches the Rfam family "Bacterial small subunit ribosomal RNA", at positions 924 to 1382 of the family's 1533-position model. Lineage: Bacteria; Pseudomonadati; Thermodesulfobacteriota; Desulfobacteria; Desulfobacterales; Desulfobacteriaceae. The record is from RNAcentral.